This 253-nucleotide ribosomal RNA is filed under the name uncultured bacterium. RNAcentral's name for it is "partial 16S ribosomal RNA". It matches the Rfam family "Bacterial small subunit ribosomal RNA", at positions 524 to 776 of the family's 1533-position model. The record is from RNAcentral.
UACAGAGGGUGCAAACGUUGUUCGGAAUUACUGGGCGUAAAGCGUGUGUAGGCGGUCGAGUAAGUCGGGUGUGAAAGCCCAGGGCUCAACCCUGGAAGUGCACUCGAUACUGCCCGGCUAGAGUACUGGAGAGGUUGGUGGAAUUCUCGGUGUAGAGGUGAAAUUCGUAGAUAUCGAGAGGAACACCGGUGGCGAAGGCGGCCAACUGGACAGAUACUGACGCUGAGACGCGAAAGCGUGGGGAGCAAACAGG